CGAAGGGGGCUAGCGUUGCUCGGAAUCACUGGGCGUAAAGCGCACGUAGGCGGUCUUUUAAGUCAGGGGUGAAAUCCUGGAGCUCAACUCCAGAACUGCCUUUGAUACUGGGAGACUUGAGUCCGGGAGAGGUGAGUGGAACUGCGAGUGUAGAGAUGAAAUUCGUAGAUAUUCGCAAGAACACCAGUGGCGAAGGCGGCUCACUGGCCCGGUACUGACGCUGAGGUGCGAAAGCGUGGGGAGCACACAGGAUUAGAUACCCUGGUAGUCCACGCUGUAAACGAUGGAUGCUAGCCGUUGGGCAGCUUGCUGUUCAGUGGCGCAGCUAACGCAUUAAGCAUCCCGCCUGGGGAGUACGGUCGCAAGAUUA
This 370-nucleotide ribosomal RNA is filed under the name uncultured organism. RNAcentral's name for it is "bacterial SSU rRNA". It matches the Rfam family "Bacterial small subunit ribosomal RNA", at positions 526 to 896 of the family's 1533-position model. The record is from RNAcentral.